UACGAAGGGGGCUAGCGUUGCUCGGAAUCACUGGGCGUAAAGCGCACGUAGGCGGAUCGCUAAGUCGGGGGUGAAAUCCUGGAGCUCAACUCCAGAACUGCCCUCGAUACUGGCGAUCUUGGAGUCCGGGAGAGGUGAGUGGAACUCCGAGUGUAGAGGUGAAAUUCGUAGAUAUUGGGAAGAACACCGGUGGCGAAGGCGGCGCUCUGGACCGAGACUGACGCUGAGGCGCGAAAGCGUGGGGAGCAAACAG
This 253-nucleotide ribosomal RNA is filed under the name uncultured bacterium. Its description in RNAcentral is "partial 16S ribosomal RNA". It matches the Rfam family "Bacterial small subunit ribosomal RNA", at positions 524 to 775 of the family's 1533-position model. The record is from RNAcentral.